RNAcentral lists this non-coding RNA (26 nucleotides) under Rattus norvegicus (Norway rat). The record is from RNAcentral. Lineage: Eukaryota; Metazoa; Chordata; Mammalia; Rodentia; Muridae.
UGCUGCUCAUUGGUGAAUGAACGGGC